CUACGGGGGGCAGCAGUUAGGAAUAUUCUACAAUGCGCGAAAGCGUGAUAGAUUGAGUCAGAGUGCGUUUCAAAUUGGAAUGCUUUUGUCAAAUGUAAAAAGUUUGGCGAAUAAGGACUGGGUAAGACGAGUGCCAGCCGCCGCGGUAAUACUCGCGGUCCAAGUCGCAGCCAUUUUUAUUGGGUCUAAAACAUCCGUAGCUUGCUUCUUAAGUUCCUUGUGAAAUUUUAUAUCUUAAAUAUAGAGCGUGCAGGGAGUACUGGGAAGCUAGAGACUGGGAGACGUAAGAAGUACAUUCAAAGUAGCGGUUAAAUGUGUUAAUCUUGGAUGGACUCACAAUAGCGAAGGCAUCUUACGAGAACAGUUCUGACAGUAAGGGAUGAAGGCUAGGGGCGCAAAACGGAUUAGAUACCCGCGUAGUC
This 422-nucleotide ribosomal RNA is filed under the name uncultured archaeon. RNAcentral's name for it is "partial 16S ribosomal RNA". It matches the Rfam family "Archaeal small subunit ribosomal RNA", at positions 323 to 746 of the family's 1478-position model. The record is from RNAcentral.